Molecule: long non-coding RNA, 520 nt
Organism: Labeo rohita (rohu)
Lineage: Eukaryota; Metazoa; Chordata; Actinopteri; Cypriniformes; Cyprinidae
Exons: 3
Source: RefSeq, a predicted model, not a curated record
AGAAGAGCCAUCAUUUCCAAUGAAAUUAGAGCAACAAUCAUACACCAUGUUCUUGUUCAUGGAAUGAGUAUGAGGGACUACGUGUUCAACCAAAUAUAAGCAGGUUCUCUGUGGCCUCCAUUGUCAGGACAUUCAGAGAAGAGAACAGAAUUGAAAGACUGCCACAUGCCGGUGGAAGGAGGGGUAUGUUCUCACAACAGCAGGAGACCAUUAUUGUCAAUAUGGUCCUUCAAAAUAAUCUCAUUCGUCUGCGUGAAAUACAACAGCGAGUUGAGGAAGACAACGUGAACUUUGAAGGAAUCAACAGUGUGAGUCUCUCCACAAUUGACCGUGUCCUGAAACGCAACCUGAUAAGUCUCAAACAAGCCUACAGAGUACCAUUUGAGAGAAAUUCUGAAAGGGUAAAAGAGCUACGAUAUCAAUAUGUACAAAGAAUGUUUCAACUGGAUUCCAUGGAGAGGCCUCAUGAGUGCAUCUUUUUGGAUGAAGCUGGCUUCAAUCUCACCAAGAGGAGAAGGAG